AGUGAACGCUGGCGGCGUGCUUAACACAUGCAAGUCGAACGAGAACGGAUCAUAGCUUGCUAUAAUUGUCAGCUAAGUGGCGCACGGGUGAGUAAUGUAUAGGUAAUAUGCCUCUUACUAAGGGAUAACAAAUGGAAACGUUUGCUAAUACCUUAUACUCCUUAUUAACAGAAGUUAAUAAGGGAAAGAUUUAUUGGUAUGAGAUUAGCCUGUAUUGUAUCAGUUAGUUGGUGGGGUAAUGGCUUACCAAGACUAUGACACAUAACUGGUUUGAGAGGAUGAUCAGUCACACUGAAACUGAGACACGGUCCAGACUCCUACGGGAGGCAGCAGUGGGGAAUAUUGCACAAUGGACGGAAGUCUGAUGCAGCAACGCCGCGUGAGGGAUGACACAUUUCGGUGCGUAAACUCCUUUUAUAUGUGAAGAUAAUGACGGUAUUAUAUGAAUAAGCACCGGCUAACUCCGUGCCAGCCGCCGCCGUAA
RNAcentral lists this ribosomal RNA (484 nucleotides) under uncultured bacterium. RNAcentral describes it as "partial 16S ribosomal RNA". It matches the Rfam family "Bacterial small subunit ribosomal RNA", at positions 29 to 523 of the family's 1533-position model. The record is from RNAcentral.